RNAcentral lists this unclassified non-coding RNA (393 nucleotides) under Hevea brasiliensis (rubber tree). Lineage: Eukaryota; Viridiplantae; Streptophyta; Magnoliopsida; Malpighiales; Euphorbiaceae. The record is from RNAcentral.
UCAUGUAAUCUUCUCUGAUGAUAUCAGGCCUGUUCGCAAGUACCUGUCCUGCUUUGAUGAAAGAAGGUCCCAAAUCACACAAAAGCUUCCUCAGCUGCCGAGCACGGAAAGGAACAACUUCUUCGUCACGACCCACCAAAUAAUCAUACACCAGUGUAGUCCAGUAAAGCCCCAAACUCCAAACAAUCUCUAUUCCUCUACCAACCAAAGAAAAAAUCUGUCCUCUUGACUCUAACACCUUGUUUCUCACAGAUUCUGGGGAAUAUUUCCGGAAUGGAAUGCAAACUCCACGUUCGAUAUCAAGCUGCUCCAAAGCGCUAGUCCUAGAAAUGUCCUUCACUAGCAAAGCAGUUUUCUCCGACGGAGUUUGUACUGUAGAAACACUACUUGCUG